CGGUAACAGCUCAAAUUUGAAAUCUGACCUUUCCGGGUCCGAGUUGUAAUUUGUAGAGGAUGUUUCGGAUAAGGCUUUGGUUUAAGUUUCUUGGAACAGAACGUCAUAGAGGGUGAGAAUCCCGUAUGUGACUGGCCGCCUUCGCCUAUGUGAAGCUCUUUCGAC
Molecule: ribosomal RNA, 165 nt
Filed under: Helotiaceae sp.
Lineage: Eukaryota; Fungi; Ascomycota; Leotiomycetes; Helotiales; Helotiaceae
Description: partial large subunit ribosomal RNA
Rfam family: Eukaryotic large subunit ribosomal RNA
Source: RNAcentral